This 72-nucleotide transfer RNA is filed under the name Camelus bactrianus (Bactrian camel). It matches the Rfam family "tRNA". Rfam says of the family: Transfer RNA (tRNA) molecules are approximately 80 nucleotides in length. Their secondary structure includes four short double-helical elements and three loops (D, anti-codon, and T loops). Further hydrogen bonds mediate the characteristic L-shaped molecular structure. tRNAs have two regions of fundamental functional importance: the anti-codon, which is responsible for specific mRNA codon recognition, and the 3' end, to which the tRNAs corresponding amino acid is attached (by aminoacyl-tRNA synthetases). tRNAs cope with the degeneracy of the genetic code in two manners: having more than one tRNA (with a specific anti-codon) for a particular amino acid; and 'wobble' base-pairing, i.e. permitting non-standard base-pairing at the 3rd anti-codon position. RNAcentral also lists the same sequence under 2 other names. Lineage: Eukaryota; Metazoa; Chordata; Mammalia; Artiodactyla; Camelidae. The record is from Rfam by way of RNAcentral.
GAGGGUACAGCUCAGUGGUGGAGUGUGUGCUUAGCAUGCACGAGGUGCUGGGUUCAAUCCCCAGUGCCUCCG